RNAcentral lists this ribosomal RNA (497 nucleotides) under uncultured bacterium. RNAcentral describes it as "partial 16S ribosomal RNA". It matches the Rfam family "Bacterial small subunit ribosomal RNA", at positions 28 to 507 of the family's 1533-position model. The record is from RNAcentral.
GACGAACGCUGGCGGCGUGCCUAAUACAUGCAAGUAGAACGCUGACGCGAGGAGCUUGCUCUCCUUGGAUGAGUUGCGAACGGGUGAGUAACGCGUAGGUAACCUGCCUUGUAGCGGGGGAUAACUAUUGGAAACGAUAGCUAAUACCGCAUAACACUGGCUGACCCAUGUCAUUUAUUUGAAAGGGGCAAAUGCCCCACUACAAGAUGGACCUGCGUUGUAUUAGCUAGUAGGUGAGGUAACGGCUCACCUAGGCGACGAUACAUAGCCGACCUGAAAGGGUGAUCGGCCACACUGGGACUGAGACACGGCCCAGGCCCCUACGGGAGGCAGCAGGAGGGAAACAUCGGCAAUGGGGGGAAACCUGACCGAGGAACGACGCGGGAGGGAAGAAGGGUUUCGGAUCGUAAAGCUCUGUUGUAUGUGAAGAAAGAGUGGGAGAGUGGAAAGUUCACACUGUGACGGUAGCUUAACAGAAAGGGACGGCUAACUACGUG